AAUGCUUCUUUAUGCCACUCACCUUAUGGGGCUGAUGGAGAGUCCACGUAAAGGAUAACCGUUUCCUCAAAGGAUUUAUGCUGUUUCAUCUCCAUCAAGAAAAGGGCUUUUUAAAGUUAAGGCUUUCAGUCCAGUGUAAAGCUGUUGGAGCGCCGGAGCAAAGGUAAAGAAUGAUGUAAUGCGCUGGCUGCCCCAAAGCAUCUUUUGUUGUGGAAUGGUUAUUCCAGUCAUCUCUUUAUGAAUCAAAUGUGAGGGGCU
RNAcentral lists this small RNA (258 nucleotides) under Pongo abelii (Sumatran orangutan). Its description in RNAcentral is "processed transcript". Lineage: Eukaryota; Metazoa; Chordata; Mammalia; Primates; Hominidae. The record is from RNAcentral.